CACCAGAGAUGGUGGUCUCUUUGGACACUCAUGUACAGGUGGUGCAUGGUUGUCGUCAGCUCGUGUCGUGAGAUGUUGGGUUAAGUCCCGCAACGAGCGCAACCCUCGUCCUAUGUUGCCAGCACGUUAUGGUGGGGACUCAUAGGAGACUGCCGGGGUCAACUCGGAGGAAGGUGGGGAUGACGUCAAAUCAUCAUGCCCCUUAUGUCUUGGGCUUCACGCAUGCUACAAUGGCCGGUACAAAGGGCUGCGAUA
This 255-nucleotide ribosomal RNA is filed under the name Serinibacter arcticus. Its description in RNAcentral is "Bacterial small subunit ribosomal RNA". It matches the Rfam family "Bacterial small subunit ribosomal RNA", at positions 998 to 1254 of the family's 1533-position model. The record is from Rfam by way of RNAcentral. Lineage: Bacteria; Bacillati; Actinomycetota; Actinomycetes; Micrococcales; Beutenbergiaceae.